GUUUUGUGGGGUGUCUAUGGGAUCUAUGGGGCAACCAUGGGUUCUAUGGGGCAACCAUGGGAUCUAUGAGGUGGCCAUGGGGUUCGUGGGGUGUCUAUGGGGUCAGUGGGUGGCCAUGGGAUCUAUGGGGCAACCAUGGGGUCUAUGGGGCAACCAUGGGAUCUAUGGGGCAACCAUGGGUUCUAUGGGGCAACCAUGGGAUCUAUGGGGCAUCCAUGGGGUCUAUGGGGCAACCAUGGGAUCUAUGGGGUGGCCAUAGGGCUUGUGGGGUGUCUAUGGGGUCGGUGGGGGAUGUGUGGGGCUGACAGAGUCUCCGAAAGGAUCUGUGGGGUGAACGUGGGGCUUUAUUGGGGUCGCUGGGGAUCUGUGGGUCGCGGCGUCUUCUCAGGUGGCGUCAGCCCGGGGGGCUCCGUGUGGGGCACCAAUAAAUUAUGGGGGGCCGGGGGGGCGCGGCGGGGUCCUGGGGGGCAGAAAAGCACGUAGGGCCACUUAUGGGGCAGUUAUGGGGCAGAUGGGGGCACUUAUGGGGCACUUAUGGGGCAGGCAGGGACGCUUAUGGGGCAGGCAGGGACACUUAUGGGGCACUUAUGGGGCAGGCAGGGACAUUUAUGGGGCACUUAUGGGGCAGGCAGGGACACUUAUGGGGCGCUUAUGGGGCAGAUAGGGGCACUUAUGGGGCACUUAUGGGGCAGAUGGGGGCACUUGUGGGGCAGCUGUGGGGCAGGGCGGGGCUCCGUACACGUUCUCGUAGUCGGGGCCGUCGGCGUCGCUGUCGCGGUCGCUGCCUGUGGGGACAUUUGGGGACAUUUGGGGACAUUUGGGGACAUUUGGGGACAUUUGGGGACACGUGGGGACUUAUAGGGUCAUAUAGGGACUUAUGGGGACAUAUAGGGACAUAUGGGGACACAUGGGGACAUUUGGGGACACAUGGGGACAUUUGGGGACAUUUGGGGACACAUGGGGACUUAUAGGGACAGUAUGGGGACAUAUAGGGACAGUAUGGGGACACAUGGG
RNAcentral lists this long non-coding RNA (1014 nucleotides) under Phasianus colchicus (ring-necked pheasant). Its description in RNAcentral is "lncRNA (ENSPCLG00000016497.1)". Lineage: Eukaryota; Metazoa; Chordata; Aves; Galliformes; Phasianidae. The record is from RNAcentral.